AACCUGCGUAGAGGCGCUGUUUUCAUCAGUAUUGCGAGCUAGUUGGCAAACUUAUCUCGUAAGAAAGGGAAAAUAGCCGAAGAAUUUAUCUGGGCACAGAUUUUUUCUGGGGUAGUAUAAAAUAUAUACUGCACUGUCACUUGUUUAGUGUUGAGCUACAAGGUUU
This is a regulatory RNA element of 166 nucleotides. It matches the Rfam family "Lysine riboswitch aptamer". From Rfam's summary of the family: Riboswitches are metabolite binding domains within certain messenger RNAs that serve as precision sensors for their corresponding targets. Allosteric rearrangement of mRNA structure is mediated by ligand binding, and this results in modulation of gene expression. The record is from Rfam.